Molecule: ribosomal RNA, 492 nt
Filed under: uncultured bacterium
Lineage: Bacteria
Description: partial 16S ribosomal RNA
Rfam family: Bacterial small subunit ribosomal RNA
Source: RNAcentral
AGUGAACGCUGGCGGUAGGCCUAACACAUGCAAGUCGAACGGCAGCACAGUAAGAGCUUGCUCUUACGGGUGGCGAGUGGCGGACGGGUGAGGAAUACAUCGGAAUCUACUUUUUCGUGGGGGAUAACGUAGGGAAACUUACGCUAAUACCGCAUACGACCUACGGGUGAAAGCAGUGGUUCUUCGGACCUUUCGCGACACAUUUAGCCGAUGCCGGAUUAGCUAGUUGGCGGGGUAAAGGCCCACCAAGGCGACGAUCCGUAGCUGGUCUGAGAGGAUGAUCAGCCACACUGGAACUGAGACACGGUCCAGACUCCUACGGGAGGCAGCAGUAGGGAAUAUUGGACAAUGGGCGCAAGCCUGAUCCAGCCAUACCGCGUGAGUGAAGAAGGCCUUCGGGUUGUAAAGCCCUUUUGUUAGGAAAGAAAAGCAGCAGGUUAAUACCCCGCUGUUCUGACGGUACCCAAAGAGUAAGCACCGGCUAACUUCGUG